UACGUAGGGUGCAAGCGUUACUCGGAAUUACUGGGCGUAAAGCGUGCGCAGGCGGUUAUUCAAGACAGAUGUGAAAUCCCCGGGCUCAACCUGGGAACUGCAUUUGUGACUGCAUGGCUAGAGUACGGUAGAGGGGGAUGGAAUUCCGCGUGUAGCAGUGAAAUGCGUAGAUAUGCGGAGGAACACCGAUGGCGAAGACAAUCCCCUGGACCUGUACUGACGCUCAUGCACGAAAGCGUGGGGAGCAAACAGG
This 253-nucleotide ribosomal RNA is filed under the name uncultured bacterium. RNAcentral's name for it is "partial 16S ribosomal RNA". It matches the Rfam family "Bacterial small subunit ribosomal RNA", at positions 524 to 776 of the family's 1533-position model. The record is from RNAcentral.